CUACCUACGGGGGGCAGCAGUGGGGGAUAUUGCACAAUGGGGGGAACCCUGAUGCAGCGACGCCGCGUGAGCGAUGAAGUAUUUCGGUAUGUAAAGCUCUAUCAGCAGGGAAGAAAAUGACGGUACCUGACUAAGGAGCAAGCCACGGCUAACUACGUGCCAGCAGCCGCGGUAAUACGUAGGUGGCAAGCGUUGUCCGGAAUUACUGGGUGUAAAGGGAGCGCAGGCGGGAAGCCAAGUCAGCUGUGAAAACUACGGGCUUAACUUGUAGAAUGCAGUUGAAACUGGUUUUCUUGAGUGAAGUA
RNAcentral lists this ribosomal RNA (305 nucleotides) under uncultured bacterium. RNAcentral describes it as "bacterial SSU rRNA". It matches the Rfam family "Bacterial small subunit ribosomal RNA", at positions 335 to 653 of the family's 1533-position model. The record is from RNAcentral.